CCGACCAUAGCUCAGUUGGAAGAGCACAAGACUGUAAAGGAUAACCGAAAUCUUGGGGUCGCCUGUUCGAACCAGGCUGGUCGGA
This 85-nucleotide transfer RNA is filed under the name Lentinula aff. boryana. RNAcentral describes it as "tRNA-Tyr". It matches the Rfam family "tRNA". From Rfam's summary of the family: Transfer RNA (tRNA) molecules are approximately 80 nucleotides in length. Lineage: Eukaryota; Fungi; Basidiomycota; Agaricomycetes; Agaricales; Omphalotaceae. The record is from RNAcentral.